Molecule: non-coding RNA, 281 nt
Organism: Pelobates cultripes (western spadefoot toad)
Lineage: Eukaryota; Metazoa; Chordata; Amphibia; Anura; Pelobatidae
Source: the annotation of a GenBank genome assembly
UUCAAGGUCAUCUUGUUGGGUGAGAGGCCAUCCUGUAUUUUCUGGCUUACAACCAGAAAAGAAGAGUAUGAUUGUAAUGUAAAUGUCAAUGUUGUGAAGUGUUUGUGCAUGCCGAUGGGAGCACCGGGAGAUUUUUUAUAGAAUAUGGUUAAAAUGGUAUCAGUAAACACUCAGGGCCUAAAUUUACGAGCAAAAAAAUCUCUGGUCUAUGAUUUUUUUAAGAAUCAAAAUGUAGAGGUUGGGUUCUUACAAGAGACUUAUUGGAAGUUGAUAGACAAUGU